UCUAAUAUGGCAGAAUAGUGCAUUGGAUUUAAGACCCAAAAAUAAAGAUAAACUUUUUUUAGAA
This 64-nucleotide transfer RNA is filed under the name Colasposoma dauricum. Its description in RNAcentral is "tRNA-Leu". It matches the Rfam family "tRNA". From Rfam's summary of the family: Transfer RNA (tRNA) molecules are approximately 80 nucleotides in length. Their secondary structure includes four short double-helical elements and three loops (D, anti-codon, and T loops). The record is from RNAcentral. Lineage: Eukaryota; Metazoa; Arthropoda; Insecta; Coleoptera; Chrysomelidae.